AUUGAACGCUGGCGGCAGGCUUAACACAUGCAAGUCGAGCGCGAAAGCCUUUCGGGGUGAGUAGAGCGGCGGACGGGUGAGUAACGCGUAGGAAUCUACCUGGUAGUGGGGGACAACUUGGGGAAACUCAAGCUAAUACCGCAUACGCCCUAAGGGGGAAAGUGGGGGAUCUUCGGACCUCACGCUAUCGGAUGAGCCUGCGUAGGAUUAGCUAGUUGGUGGGGUAAAGGCUCACCAAGGCGACGAUCCUUAGCUGGUCUGAGAGGAUGAUCAGCCACACUGGGACUGAGACACGGCCCAG
This 301-nucleotide ribosomal RNA is filed under the name uncultured bacterium. RNAcentral's name for it is "bacterial SSU rRNA". It matches the Rfam family "Bacterial small subunit ribosomal RNA", at positions 30 to 334 of the family's 1533-position model. The record is from RNAcentral.